RNAcentral lists this ribosomal RNA (432 nucleotides) under uncultured bacterium. Its description in RNAcentral is "partial 16S ribosomal RNA". It matches the Rfam family "Bacterial small subunit ribosomal RNA", at positions 29 to 507 of the family's 1533-position model. The record is from RNAcentral.
ACGAACGCUGGCGGCAUGCCUAACACAUGCAAGUCGAACGCGACCUUCGGGUCUAGUGGCGCACGGGUGCGUAACGCGUGGGAACCUGCCCUUAGGUUCGGAAUGACUCCCCGAAAGGGGUGCUAAUACCGGAUAAUGUCUUCGGACCAAAGAUUUAUCGCCUUUGGAUGGGCCCGCGUUGGAUUAGCUAGUUGGUAGGGUAAAAGCCUACCAAGGCGACGAUCCAUAGCUGGUCUGAGAGGAUGAUCAGCCACACUGGGACUGAGACACGGCCCAGACUCCUACGGGAGGCAGCAGUGGGGAAUAUUGGACAAUGGGCGAAAGCCUGAUCCAGCAAUGCCGCGUGAGUGAUGAAGGCCUUAGGGUUGUAAAGCUCUUUUACCCGGGAUGAUAAUGACAGUACCGGGAGAAUAAGCUCCGGCUAACUCCGUG